AGGGUGAAGGGGUUGCAAUAAACUGGUGGCUGCGACUGUUUAAUAAAAACACAGCACUCUGCAAACACGAAAGUGGACGUAUAGGGUGUGACGCCUGCCCGGUGCCGGAAGAUUAAAUGAUGGGGUGCAAGCUCUUGAUUGAAGUCCCGGUAAACGGCGGCCGUAACUAUAACGGUCCUAAGGUAGCGAAAUUCCUUGUCGGGUAAGUUCCGACCUGCACGAAUGGCGUAACGAUGGCCACACUGUCUCCUCCCGAGACUCAGCGAAGUUGAAGUGUUUGUGAUGAUGCAAUCUACCCGCGGCUAGACGGAAAGACCCCAUGAACCUUUACUGUAGCUUUGCAUUGGACUUUGAACCGAUCUGUGUAGGAUAGGUGGGAGGCUAUGAAACCGGAACGCUAGUUUCGGUGGAGCCGUCCUUGAAAUACCACCCUGGUUUGUUUGAGGUUCUAACCUUGGCCCGUGAUCCGGGUCGGGGACAGUGCAUGGUAGGCAGUUUGACUGGGGCGGUCUCCUCCCAAAGCGUAACGGAGGAGUACGAAGGUACGCUAGGUACGGUCGGAAAUCGUGCUGAUAGUGCAAUGGCAUAAGCGUGCUUAACUGCGAGACCGACAAGUCGAGCAGGUGCGAAAGCAGGUCAUAGUGAUCCGGUGGUUCUGUAUGGAAGGGCCAUCGCUCAACGGAUAAAAGGUACUCUGGGGAUAACAGGCUGAUACCGCCCAAGAGUUCAUAUCGACGGCGGUGUUUGGCACCUCGAUGUCGGCUCAUCUCAUCCUGGGGCUGUAGCCGGUCCCAAGGGUAUGGCUGUUCGCCAUUUAAAGAGGUACGUGAGCUGGGUUUAAAACGUCGUGAGACAGUUUGGUCCCUAUCUGCCGUGGGCGUUGGAUAUUUGAAGGGGGCUGCUCCUAGUACGAGAGGACCGGAGUGGACGAACCUCUGGUGUACCGGUUGUCACGCCAGUGGCAUCGCCGGGUAGCUAUGUUCGGAAGAGAUAACCGCUGAAAGCAUCUAAGCGGGAAACUCGCCUUAAGAUGAGAUAUCCCUGGGGACUAGAUCCCCUUGAAGGGUCGUUCGAGACCAGGACGUUGAUAGGUCAGGUGUGUAAGCGCAGUAAUGCGUUCAGCUAACUGAUACUAAUUGCCCGUAAGGCUUGAUCCU
RNAcentral lists this ribosomal RNA (1157 nucleotides) under Burkholderia pyrrocinia. Its description in RNAcentral is "partial 23S ribosomal RNA". It matches the Rfam family "Bacterial large subunit ribosomal RNA", at positions 1765 to 2925 of the family's 2925-position model. Lineage: Bacteria; Pseudomonadati; Pseudomonadota; Betaproteobacteria; Burkholderiales; Burkholderiaceae. The record is from RNAcentral. RNAcentral also lists the same sequence under 2 other names.